This 293-nucleotide ribosomal RNA is filed under the name uncultured bacterium. Its description in RNAcentral is "partial 16S ribosomal RNA". It matches the Rfam family "Bacterial small subunit ribosomal RNA", at positions 505 to 796 of the family's 1533-position model. The record is from RNAcentral.
GUGUCAGCAGCCGCGGUAAUACAGAGGGUGCAAGCGUUGUUCGGAAUUACUGGGCGUAAAGCGCGCGCAGGCGGAUCCUGUAAGUCUGGAGUGAAAUUUCACCGCUCAACGGUGAAGCUGCUUUGGAUACUGCGGAUCUGGAGACCGGUAGAGGCUGGUAGAAUUGCAGGUGUAGCGGUGGAAUGCGUAGAGAUCUGCAAGAAUACCCGUGGCGAAGGCGGCCAGCUGGGCCGGUUCUGACGCUGAGGCGCGAAAGCGUGGGGAGCAAACAGGAUUAGAAACCCCUGUAGUCC